RNAcentral lists this non-coding RNA (24 nucleotides) under Cricetulus griseus (Chinese hamster). The record is from RNAcentral. Lineage: Eukaryota; Metazoa; Chordata; Mammalia; Rodentia; Cricetidae.
ACUGGGUAGGUAAGAAUAUAUGAA